AGUGCACAUGAUGCGAAAAAUGAUGAAGAGAACUCUCAUGAUGUCCUCUUUGUCACACUAUUACAUGAAAUUCCAUUAAAGCUACCUUGAUAGCAGAAUACAUUGCUUUAUCCUACUCAGUUAUUAUAAAUCACAGGAUAUUAAGGACUAAAUUUUAUUGCUGAGUAAGGUGAUCCUGGAGACUAAAUGAAACCACUAACAGAAGAACAUCAUAAAUUUGACUU
This 224-nucleotide long non-coding RNA is filed under the name Elaeis guineensis (African oil palm). Its description in RNAcentral is "long non-coding RNA (EGUI_LNC034043)". Lineage: Eukaryota; Viridiplantae; Streptophyta; Magnoliopsida; Arecales; Arecaceae. The record is from RNAcentral.